UGAGCCUCUGAGAACUGGCUGGAAGCUUUGGAUGCCUUCCCCCGAGAAAAGGUUUCAGCUUUGGGGCGUUGCUAGACUCCAUGACCCCAUGAAUCACAGGUGUGACCCUGGGGGAAGCCAUUCAACUCUGCCUUAAUAUACUCGUCUGUAAAAUGGGUACCAGAACACCCAAGUAUCUAAGAUUCCUGUGCAGACCAAACAAGAGACUGUGCAGGAACGGGCAUUUCAGACUAUCAAGCAAUGUCCAAACCCGAGAGGGUAACCAACAUGAGGAUCCAGGCGCACAGACAAAUACAGAAACGUGAGGGCUGGCCUGAGUUUUACUGUUAACCACCGCUACCUUGAAUGAUGAUGACAACGGGAGUGGGGAUGAUGAGGAGGAAGAGGAGAGGCGGAAGGAAUACAUGUGUGACAUAUGAUUACAUUUCCCCAUCUGCUGCAGGAA
Long non-coding RNA from Prionailurus viverrinus (fishing cat), 445 nucleotides. RefSeq lists it as uncharacterized. The transcript is spliced from 3 exons. The record is from RefSeq and is a predicted model, not a curated record. Lineage: Eukaryota; Metazoa; Chordata; Mammalia; Carnivora; Felidae.